GACGAACGCUGGCGGCGGGCUCAACACAUGCGAGUCGAACGGAAAGGCCCUGCAUUUGGGGGGUGCUCGAGGGGCGAACGGGUGAGGAACACGUGAGUAACCUGCCCUGGACUGUGGGAUAACGUCAGGAAACUGGGGCUACUACCGGAUAGGCACUCCUGCUGCAUGGUGGGGGUCGGAAAGUUUCGGCGGUUGGGGAUGGACUCGCGGCUUAUCAGCUUGUUGGUGGGGUAGAAGCUUACCAAGGCUUUGACGGGCAGCCGGCCUGAGUGGGUGCCCGGCCACAUUGGGCCUAGACUACCGCCCAGACUCCUACGGGCUGUAGCGGUGGGGAUUAUUGUGUAAUGGGCGGAAGCAUGGUGCAGUAACGCCCCCUGCGCGAUGACGGCCUUCGGGUUGUAAGCAGCUUUCGCCCGUGACGAAGCGUCAGUGCCGUUAAUGGCUAACGAAGCACCGGCUAACUACGUG
RNAcentral lists this ribosomal RNA (468 nucleotides) under uncultured bacterium. RNAcentral describes it as "partial 16S ribosomal RNA". It matches the Rfam family "Bacterial small subunit ribosomal RNA", at positions 28 to 507 of the family's 1533-position model. The record is from RNAcentral.